Molecule: RNA transcript, 5563 nt
Organism: Coturnix japonica (Japanese quail)
Lineage: Eukaryota; Metazoa; Chordata; Aves; Galliformes; Phasianidae
Gene: TRMT11
Gene name: tRNA methyltransferase 11
Source: RefSeq, a predicted model, not a curated record
CGCUAGUCCCGCCCGGCGGCGCAUGCGGCGCGGUAGGCGGGGGAUGGCCGGAGAUGGCGGCGGCGGGCCCGGCACGGCAGCGGUACCUGCUGCUGCUGGCACAGGAGCACCUCGAGUUCCGCCUGCCGGAAAUAACAUCUUUGCUCUCGCUUUGUGGCGGACAGUUUAGCAGUCAGCAGGAAGUCCGUGUAAAUUCUCCAUUUUGGAUUCUCAAUAUUCCUUCAGAAGAGAUGGCGAGGGGGCUGAUGAAACGGACAGUAUGUGCAAAGUCUAUAUUUGAGCUGUGGGGUCGUGGCAGAUCUGCAGGGGAACUCUAUGCAUCCUUGGAGAACUAUCCAAUGGACAAGAUGCUUCCAUAUCUACAGCCAGACUCGACAUAUAAAAUACAUAUUCAUACAUUUAAUAAAACACUGACCCAAGCACAGAAGAUAAAAAAGAUAGAUGCACUCGAAUUCCUACCAUUCAGAGGAAAGGUGAAUCUAAAGAAUCCAGAACACAUCUUCUGGAUUUUGGAAGAUUAUGGAACGGACCCUAACAACGUCCCGGAAGAACCUUUUGAUCUGUAUUUUGGUAGAUGGAUUGCAGAUGGCCAAAGAGAACUUAUUGAGUCCUACAGCAUAAAAAAGAGACACUUUAUUGGAAAUACUAGCAUGGAUGCCUGUCUGUCAUUCAUCAUGGCAAACCACGGGAGAGUAAAACCCAAUGAUAUUGUAUAUGAUCCAUUUGUUGGAACAGGUGGUCUCCUUAUCUCCUCAGCACACUUUGGAGCGUACGUCUGUGGUACUGAUAUAGAUUACAACACAAUCCAUGGAUUAGGCAAGGCAAGCAGGAAAAACCAGAAAUGGAGAGGGCCAGAUGAAAAUAUCAGAGCUAAUCUCCGACAAUAUGGUUUAGAAAAAUACUACCUCGACGCACUGGUUUCUGAUUCUUCAAGACCAAUAUGGCGAAAGGGGACGUUGUUUGAUGCAAUCAUUACAGACCCACCAUAUGGUAUCAGAGAAGCUACUCGCAGAACAGGCUCACAAAAGGAAUCAGUUAAAUCAUCUGAGAGAAGCACAGAAAAUCACAUCAUCAUUUCAUCCAGCUAUCAUCUGAGUGACAUCUUUUUUGACCUGUUGAAGUUUGCAGCAGAAUAUCUGGUGAUGGGAGGAAGAUUAGUUUACUGGCUGCCGAUAUACAGGCCUGAGUAUGUAUGCUUGAUUUCUGAUACACAGAAGAGAUCAUUCCCCGCCACCCGUGCCUGAAACUUAUUAGCAACUGUGAGCAGAUGCUCUCCAGCCACACAUCAAGGCGCCUGAUAACCAUGGAAAAGGUGAAGGAAUUCAAGGAUCAAGACCAGAAUUCUUACUUGUCGGAUGGUCAGUACACACCAUACAAAGGACACAAUUCUUUCCGUGAGAAGUAUUUCAGUGGUGUGACAAAAAGGAUUGCCAAGGAAGAAAAGGACAACCAGAAGUAAAAUAUAAUAUAAACAUAUUAAAAAAUGAGGAAGGAAUGAAGAUUGUGUUUCUUUGUAAAGACAUCUGGAUAUGAACAUUCAUUUGGACGCUUCAGAAAAAUAAAUACUGCUUUUAAUUUUAAAGCAAGAUGAAGCCCACAACACAGGUUGAGAGCAGUUCUUUUCAAUUACAUUUGUUUAUAGCGGAUUUUAUUGUACAAUGUUUCUGAGUUUUAUUUAAUUUAUAUUUGUGCUUUCAAGUCCUAAUGAUGAUUGACUAAAACCAUUAUUAUUGUUCUUUCACCAUUAACAUUUACAAAAAGUAGUGGUGUUAUUUGGCUUCUUAAACUGUGAACAUCUGGCUGUUUUAGAAACACGUGGUGGUGAUCAAGGAUUGCUUAUUAUGAAGAUCAGUUUCAUUUGCUUUGGGGUUUUUUUCCUGUUGUUUUCUGGUUUUCUUUUUUUCUUUUCCUAAGAGGUAUACAGUAGAACAGAGAAUUUUGUCAUGAGAUUUUAUUUCUAACUGUUGCAUGCAAUAACUGCUCAGAUUGCUCUGACUGAGGACUGCAGUGUUUAAAACAAACAAACAAAAAAACACAAACACACAAAGCAGCAAAUGUGUGUGUGCGCGCACGUGCACGCGCCUCUGUGACCUGACAAACGCUGGAGAGCCUGUUAAACCCUGUGAAGUUUGUCCACAUCUGAAGCUCAUCUGUACUUUGGAUUUGCUCUUGCAUUCCUAAACCUUGACUCUUGGUCAAGCCAACUGUCUGCAAUUUUUGGUUCAGAAAUUGAUAGUUAAAGCAGUAACAACAACAGCAUAAAAUCAGUAAUGGUUCCCUAAUGGUAUUAAGCCUAAUCAAAUCUUUGAAAUUGAAGCUGUAUUUGUCAAAGGGAAAACUUUGCUGAAUCCACACCAUGUCCAUCAUGAAAAUACCUCAUUUGAAAACCACUAAGCCCAUUAAUUUAGGAUGUUAAUGGCUCUUCUCAUUUUGGUGGUCAAAUAUUCUUCAAGAGGGCGUUGGUGAAUGUAUCUGCUUGCUCCAACUAGAGAAAGCUUUGCUUCUUAAUUUGAUGCAAGCUACUGACUGCGAUCAUUUUACAUUCUUUGUAGGUAAUAACCUAGAGCUUCUCCAAGCACCCAGUUGUACCUAGGCAAGUAGCAAUCAUUGUGCAUUUGCUUGAGUUCAUUAACUGGAUUUUCUCUUCUGUAUGUUGUGGUCCUCAGCUGCAGCAGGGAGAGCUCAAAUAUUCAAUGACAACUUUGUCUGACCUUCUGGAUCUAAUCUGUGGUGGUGUAGGUAGUUCUGAAACAGUGAUUUAUUUUCUCUGUUUACAUUAUAAAUCACUUUGUUUUGAGACUCAUAAUGUCAGCCGUCUAAUAGUUGUUCUGGGCUAAACUUGGAAGGAGAUGAAAGCUCAGAAGAUUUUCAAAAGCAGAAUUUGAAUUGAACACUUUCAAAUAUUACAUGAAGAAAUUACUGCUUCUGAAAAGCUGUCUUCAUGUAACUUCUGACUUCAAUUUUAGUAUUACACUUUGACAUUCAGUCUUUAUUACUUUACAAAUUAAAAUUACUUUCUGUUCUUCAUAGGCAGGGAAUUUUUGUAGAUGGAUUUAUUAUGCAUUUAUAACUUCGUUUUCUUAAAAGUUACCCUACAUAGACAUGAUCUAAAUGGUUAUACAAGAUGUAAGGUAGUGGCAAAUCUGGCUCUGUCUAUUUAAAGAGAAUGAUUUAGUUUAUUUCUCCUCUUCUUGGUCCAACUUUUAGUCCAUUCAGCAGCGGUGGUGUGGCUUCUCUUUAGCAGUUCAUACAUAACAGCUCUAUCAUUACAGAAGAAUACCAUUUUGAACAGAAACUGUAAGUGUAUUUGGGGUACUACAUCAACGUACGCUAAUCAAAAAAGUUUGGAAUUGAAAUCAGAUGUUCAAGCUCUGCUGAUCCCCAACAUUAAAGCUAUCAUUUGGAAGUAUUUCUCAUGUCUAAACUUCUCCUUGUUUAAUGUGCAUACUUCAGACAAUCGUAUGUGCAGACGUGCAAAGCAGAGGCGUUUAUAGCUAUAGAGCUGGGACACAGCCCUUGUGCUGUCUCUAGCGAAGGACUGACAAGCGGGUGAGUUAUCCUUUCGACAGGAUUUGGCCACCGAUGGCCGCGGUUUCUGGCGCUUUCAUUCAAUCUGGUUCCAUUCAGUCUCUUUCUGUGAAGUUCCAGUUUCCUGUCCCUGGCAGGGAGGGUCAGUUCACAAGCCCGCUCUGAACUCAUUCCGUUGUCAUUCUCUCCUUUGGGGUGGUUUGUGCCAUUUUCCAGUUUUGAAAAAUAAACGUUAUUUUUGGAGCGCGUUGUUGCACUGCAGUGAAUUGGAUGGAGGGAGGAGCUGAAGUCAGCUGCAAGGUCAUACGGGCAGAGGCCCUCUCUUGCUGUCGGGAGCACUUUAUUGAGUUAAGAAACGGAACGAGUCCUCGUCUUUUCAUGGAAUCCCUUCACUUGAUGGUGAAAACAGGUUUGACAGAACGUCAAGGUUCAAUGGGGUCUUGCAGGUAACAAGGACCUAGAAAUAUUGUUGAAAUGAACAGGAGUGUUGAAGAAAAAGAGUUAAUAUAGCUUUCAAGAUUAAAAACAAAACAAAAAAAAAAAAAGAAAAAAAAUGUUAUGAGUUCAACUCUCAUUCAGUAUCGGAGAACUUGCAUGGAAACAGGACAUAGAUAUAAAAAUGUUAGCAGUUGUUUCUGUUGCUUCUGCUGCUUCUUGAUCCUUUCCUUAAAACAAACAAACAAAAACUAAACAUAGAGCAUUUUGGGAGGUCUCAGCAGAGCAUUCUCAGUCUUUAAAGCUAUGACACCAAUUCAAAAAAGCUGAGGUUCAGUUGUUUCAACUCUUCAGUUCAUUGAGAGGAAUCAAGGAGAUGUGCCAGCCUGCUGAAUGUCUCUGAGAAAGUGCAGUCUUCCCUUUAAACCAAGCUAAGAAACCAGUGUCUGUUACUGGUACAGCUAAACCUAGAUCUCACCUAGCACAGCAAGCUUCUUGUUUUCAGAAUGCUUUCACUGGACUUCCUGCUGGUGCUACGCAAUACAGCAACUUCCACCCACUGGACAGGGGCAUGGGAGGUCUUGAUGUGGAGCCUUUCUUUCUCUCGGCCUCUUUUCAACAGUCCAGUAAGACUGUGGUAGAUGUCCUUAAUUGUUGGACCUCUCUUCUCCUUUUUCUGUUAGCCUAAUAAGCAGUGCUUUAGCUCAAGAGUUGUGCCUUACAAGCAGGUUAUUUGUAUCCAUUAAUGUGGAAGUUGACAAAAGUAAAGUCUAGUUAUGAUUUCUCAAUCAAGGUUCGCCUGCUUGAAAAUACUGAAGAUAUAAGUGCACAUCCUCUUCAGCUGUUCUGACACUACUGUAGAGCUUCUGCAGGGAGGAAACACCUUAAUAAUUCUGAAUCUUGGUUUUCCUUCCAAGACUAUGAUUUAAGAGCUCUUCAUUAAUGGCUAUUUCCAGCAUCCCUAGAACAGCUUCAGGCCUUGCGGUCACCAACCAGAGAAGUGUGUCACUGGAAAGGUGACUGUGACUUUGCAUCGCCCUCCAGCCAAAGGUCUUUCAGGCACAAAAAUGUCCUCUGGGGCAGGGCAUGACUGGAGCUGAUGAUGUGUGGUGGUUCUUUCCCUGUUGCACAGCAAGCAGCUCUGGGUUAGCUGACAGAGGACUGAAAAAGGCUCCAAGAAGCAGAGGCUGUUCACUGCUGGCUCAGCUCCCGUCGCCACCAUGGUUCUCUUUUCUGACUCUCCUUUCCACUCCUUCAUCAGAGCUCAGAAGAAAGUUUGAAAGCAUUCUUUCUUUGCUGUUUAGCUUGGUCUAAAGUCUAAACUGGGGUCCAAAGUUAAGUGAGUCUGUCUUUUCAGUUUGGAAAUUCCUUCUUUGCUCCUAAAAAAAGUGGAGUUUGGGGUAGCUGGGAGAAGGAAGUGGCCAGUAUCCUUUUCUUUUUUGUCUGCUAUUUGGAAAAUAAAUGUGUUUGGUUUUUUUUCAUCCUUGUUUGCUAAUACUGCUGAUGUUAGUGAUUAUGUUAUUUAAAACAGCAAAAUGUAUCUCACCUGCCUCCAUGCUGCCUUUUAAAUAUAUUUCUCUGGUGUUCUUUUCUUUGCUUA